GCCACCACAACCCAACUUUACCUCCCUGGAGACAGAGCUGACCAGUUCACCCAGUUAGACCUGGGCUAUGCCUCAGGUCUCUCUGCUUCUUCAGCCUUUAACCCAGUGUGGGCAGGGGAGAUGGAGUCCUUUUAACUAGUAGUUAACAAGCUAAUAUCAUGAAGGAAAAAUACACUGCCUGGCACAGGGAGCUUGUGAACAAGAGCACACCCCAACAGUCCACAAGGAGGUUUACCUUACCAUUUCUGAUGUGUGCUUCUGGUACUCCCAAGCAUCCUCAAGGCAAACACUGUGCACAUCAGACCAAAACCAUAGCAACAACACCCCCAGACGCUGCACAGGGGGAACCUUCUAAACAUUUUGAGCUGCCAGUGGCUUUGAACUUGGCUGUAACCUGAAGGAAGGAAUCCUUAAUGACAUGGAGACAAGAAGAAUAAACUGCAAGCCCAGGUUUAGUAAAUUGUGUGAGAUGAACCUGAUGCAUUUCUUCAAUGAGACAGUUCAUUCCCUAGACAUGAGAAGUGUGGUACAAUCUCAUUUAUCUGGGUAUCAAGGGGCACCACAACAUGACAUGGGCAAUUAUCAGCAGGGACCCCUGCAGAUAGAAACAAAGGAGGAGGAGGAGAAAUGCCUGGAUGCACUGGCUGGUCACAGUACAACUACGUGUUGUCGUUGGAUGACAGCUGGAGAAAAAGGAAAGGAGAUUCUUGGAACAGCUUAGAAAGGCUCCUCCAGUUGAAAUACAGAAUAAUCAAAUCCUGCUCAUGGCAGUGAGGUUUGAACUGUAUCAUCUCAAGGUCCUUUCCAACCCAAACUGUUCUAUGAUUCUAUGACUCUUUUGAUAGCGAAAGGCUGCAUAUGGUGGCCCACUACCUGACUUGCCAUCAGAGAAGCUCAAAAAGUCUCCAGCCCAUCCUCCUCAAAGCAAGGCCAGGGGCAUGGUUGCUCAGGGCUUUAUCCAGUUGAAUUCUGAGUAUCUCCUGGGAGUCCUCCAAGAACCACAAAGCUGGUGUAUAAAUAAUCACUGCUUGAAGCAGAAAUCCCACUGGACUGCGGUGUCCAGGAGGAAAGACC
Molecule: long non-coding RNA, 1074 nt
Organism: Neopsephotus bourkii (Bourke's parrot)
Lineage: Eukaryota; Metazoa; Chordata; Aves; Psittaciformes; Psittacidae
Exons: 3
Source: RefSeq, a predicted model, not a curated record